Long non-coding RNA from Sinocyclocheilus grahami, 1554 nucleotides. RefSeq lists it as uncharacterized. Lineage: Eukaryota; Metazoa; Chordata; Actinopteri; Cypriniformes; Cyprinidae. The record is from RefSeq and is a predicted model, not a curated record. The transcript has 2 exons.
CCGCCAAACAGCAGCAGACCAUCCUGAAAGUCACCAUCGACGGAUGCGAGUGGAACGACGUGAAGUUCUUCCAGCUAGCCGCUCAGUGGCCGACUCACGUCAAGUAUCUCCCGGUGGGACUGUUUGGCUACAGCAAACCACCCUCCUAGGACGGCCCACUUUCUCAGCCCCGCCUCUUCAACCUGCAGCCUACACCCCAUUGCACACCGCCGCCGCCACUCUCAGAACGCUGGCCAAUCACAGCUGAGAUGGGAUUUUCAUGUGACCGUCUCUGGUGGGUUGGUAGGUGGAGGUGAAGACGUUCGAUUCGGCGGCUUCGAUAGACUUUUAUCAGCGCUAGUCACUUUUAUUUAUUAAAGGCCCCAGAGCCACAUAUGGGGGCCAAGCACAAAAUUUGGAUACACCACCUGUUGAUGACUAUUUAACAGCAUGGCACCGCUUAAAUCACACUCGACAACCCUGAAUAUAUCCCUUGAUGUAACUGAUCUCUUUCAUCAUUGGCGUCUAUAACCAGCAUAAUCGAUAAAUGCAGUUUAAGCCUUGCUAAAAUCUACCAUGGUAACUGUAUUUGGAGAUAAACGUAACAGUAAAAUCAGCUUUCGGAAUCUUUCUGUUGCUUAGCAACUAUGGAAUUUUGGAGGAAACUGUGGUUACCAUGGUCGUUUUUUGUAAACAUGAAAAAAGCACCAAUGAAUAUUCCGAAAAUUAGCAAAGUUCCUGCCUUUAUUAAGAGGGUGGAGUUAAACGCCAAUUUUACAUCGGAGGCGGGGCUACAAGGUGCCCAUUAGCCAACUGAUGAGAUUUCCUAAAAAUCUUCAUUUGCAUAGUUUGUUUUAUCCUUCCAGUCGAUGAAAUCUGAAAAUGCGUCGUUGACCUCUAACUUGCAUGUCUUAAACUACAUCACCCAUAAUGCACUGGCAAAGUUAACAAUUAACGUUAGCUCAGUUGUGCACAAAUCGUUUCGCCUCUUGCGUUCCCCUAGACAUAUACGGAAGGUUAGUAGUUCGCAUUGGUUAAUCUCUGUUAACUAGAAUAAACGAAUUCAGUUUAGUUUUAUAUUUAUUUUUACACACGCUUUUAUGUCAGUUAUCGUUUAUUUUUCAAAGUGACCUUUUAGCUUAAAUAUGCAGCUCAUCUACAGGUUUUACUUCUUUUCAUAAACCAUCUCCAAAGAUCUCUGGCCAAUCAGAAUGUAAACAUUACGGGACAGAAAGAGUCAGUCACCUUUUUAACAUGGGCAACGGCAAUGAUUUCAAGGCGAAGUCGAUUUAUAAGAGAACUGUGUCCUAUCAAGCAGCACAAGGCCUGACGUAAAGGCUGGACGAUUAAUACCACCGAUUAAGCCAGCAGAAUUAGGGAAGACGUAGUUUUACAUAUAGUUUUUUGUGUGCAUCUUCACAGCUGGAAACUGGUUUGGAGAGAACUUCAAGGGUUUCAUCUUCAUCAGUUGUCAAAUGCUAUGCACUUAUUAAACUCGCCUUCAUUUCUUCAUAUCUUCAUCCAAAGCACAACAGCUCCUCAUACGGAAUGCCCAAUUAAAACAUGAUUCACAAA